RNAcentral lists this transfer RNA (61 nucleotides) under Marmota marmota marmota (Alpine marmot). It matches the Rfam family "tRNA", at positions 6 to 65 of the family's 71-position model. Rfam says of the family: Transfer RNA (tRNA) molecules are approximately 80 nucleotides in length. Their secondary structure includes four short double-helical elements and three loops (D, anti-codon, and T loops). RNAcentral also lists the same sequence under 4 other names. Lineage: Eukaryota; Metazoa; Chordata; Mammalia; Rodentia; Sciuridae. The record is from Rfam by way of RNAcentral.
UGUAGCUCAGUAGUAGAGUGCUUGCCUGGCACACAAGAGGCCCUGGAUUCAAUCUCUAGUA